RNAcentral lists this ribosomal RNA (249 nucleotides) under uncultured Acanthamoeba. RNAcentral describes it as "partial 18S ribosomal RNA". It matches the Rfam family "Eukaryotic small subunit ribosomal RNA", at positions 97 to 279 of the family's 1831-position model. The record is from RNAcentral. Lineage: Eukaryota; Discosea; Longamoebia; Acanthamoebidae.
CUCAUUAAAUCAGUUAUAGUUUAUUUGAUGGUCUCUUUGUUCUUCUUUUUACCUACUUGGAUAACCGUGGUAAUUCUAGAGCUAAUACAUGCGCAAGGUCCCGAGCGCGGAGAGUAGGACUUCACGGUUCUAUUCUUGCAUGCGUAGAGGGAUGUAUUUAUUAGGUUAAAAACCAGCGGCAGGGGUCGGCAAUGGCCCCUGCCAAACACUCCUGGUGAUUCAUAGUAACUCUUUCGGAUCGCAUUCAUG